This 458-nucleotide ribosomal RNA is filed under the name Molomea exaltata. RNAcentral describes it as "partial large subunit ribosomal RNA". Lineage: Eukaryota; Metazoa; Arthropoda; Insecta; Hemiptera; Cicadellidae. The record is from RNAcentral.
UAGUAAAUUGUUAAAAGUAAAUUCUGCCCUAUGAUUAAUUAAAUGGCUGCAGUAUUCUGACUGUGCAAAGGUAGCAUAAUAAUUAGUCUUUUAAUUGAAGGCUGGUAUGAAUGAAUAUAUGAGGUAUAAGUUUUAUUUUUAUUAUUUUUAUAAAUUGAUUUUUAAGUAAAAAAGCUUAAUUUAUUAUUUGGGACGAUAAGACCCUAUAGAACUUUAGUUUGAUUUAUUUUUAUAGAAUUUAUAGUUUUUAUAUUUUAAAUUUAUUAUAAUUCUUUUAUUGGGGUAAUAGAUAAAUUUUACUUUAUUUUUAUAUUUCAUUUAUUAAUGUAAUUUUUGAUCCAAAUUUUGAUUAAAAGAUUAAGUUACCUUAGGGAUAACAGCGUAAUUUUAAUGGGGAGUUCAUAUUUAUAUUAAAGUUUGCGACCUCGAUGUUGAAUUAAGAUAAGACUGAGGGGUAG